CCACAAUUGCAUAUUUGAAUUCAAAUUUUGAAUCUCAAAAGGGCUCUAAAAGAUUUUGUUUACACCUAUUUGAGCUUUGGAUCUUCAAACCAUUAAUAUUUAUAUAUAAAAGGGGUUUAUUGCACAUAUGAGCUAUCCCAUAAUUUUUGGAUAAUUAUUUGGAGUUAAAAAAAAUAUUUUAUUCAAAUAGAUAUAUGGCCCUAAAGGAAUUUAUAGGGCAAAUGUAUUUUUACAUAUUUUAUUUUGAAGAGAAACUACUUCCAAAAGUUGUAUCUUGGUAGAACAUGAUUUUACAAAUUUUCUGGAUUUUAUUUGGACUAAAUUGGAGUUCAAACCCAAAAGAUAUCAAAGAAAUGAGAAAAACAGAAACAAAGAAAAGGGCUAAAAGAAAAAAAAAGGGGUAAACCGGACCGGCCCGGCCAUCUUGGGCCGAACCGGCCCCGUCCGACCGCGCCCGACCGGCCCCGCCAGCCCGCCACCCGCGCGCGCCCGCGACCGCUGACAGGUGGGGCCCACCUGUCAGGGGCUCCUAUUUGUCUAAAAAUGAUAGGAUUUGAAUCAUGAUGCUUUUAUGCAAAGUAGCCAAACCCCACUUAGCCAAACUAUGCAUGUACUUGGUAGGUCCUUUAUAACUCUAGUGAGUUUGCCAAUACCUUCAAAUGUAUCGACCACGUAGUGGCUGCAAUUAAUAAUGCAGGUGAAACUGACGAAGAGUGAGGUUCGUCGAUAUUUCUUUGGGUCAUGUGCUUACAUUCCAACAUGCUCUCUCCUUUGGGAGUAGAUGAGGCCCUUUCACUCUACUUUUCCGCUGCAGCUUCAUGAUACAUUGUUAUCAUGGUUUUGAACUUUAUUUGUUUAUGCUGGCUU
Molecule: long non-coding RNA, 867 nt
Filed under: Brachypodium distachyon (stiff brome)
Lineage: Eukaryota; Viridiplantae; Streptophyta; Magnoliopsida; Poales; Poaceae
Description: long non-coding RNA (BDIS_LNC001462)
Source: RNAcentral